UGAAUUGUUUACUAUUUUAUUGUCAAAAAAGGGUAUGUCAAAUACUUAGUUCACUUUCUUGAAUACACUUUGAAAUUUCCUAUGAUUAUUGAAAUUAUUCACAUUAUUAUGCUAACAAAAAUAUUUACAUUACAUAUGGAGAAAUUGUUGUUUCUAUUUGCUUAUUUUCAAUAUGUUCACCGCCUAAGCUCAAACAAUAAAACCAUGCAAUAAAUCAAAUUUUAUACUAGACCAAAGCACUAACAACCGCAUUCAAUUCAAAGGCUCUCAACAGCUUUGCAUAUUUGCCGGCGUGCUUCACUUCACUCCAUCAAAUUCAAUUCAUAAAUGACGUUCAAAAUAACUGUAAUAUUCUUUCCAAAGGAGCCUUGGUUGUUACAGUCUUUGGGGAUGCUCAAGAAAUUGCAAGGUGUUUUUAUAAUAGACUUUUCCAUUCCUACAUCCCGGUAGGAGGGCAAAACACUUUCUGUACACCACUCCAGUGGUGCCAAACUGCUGAAUGACGAUCAUCAUCACAUGAAAGAGAAAGAGACUACACUAGGAAAGUACUCCAUGAAGCGAAUAAAGGCUAUUAAAAAGUGCUGGAUAAAAUUAACCGUAUUGCAAAAAAAAAAAAACAAUGCAUUGAAUGUGCUUAAAAAUUGCAGUCGAAGCAUCAAUAUUGUUUUGGAAAGAGUUACAUGGAUGGCAAUAAAGUGCAAUAGCACAGAUAAUACAACAGAAAUCAGGGCAAAACUCGCAUGAUGUAAAAAAAAAAAAAUAUUUUGUUUGUAAUUUCAAAAUUUAUCACAGCAUCAAAAUGUGAAAAAUACUAAAUUUUUAUUCAAAAUAAGCUACAACACUUACAAUUUAAAUAUGAUUAAAGUAACAUUAACCGCGGCGUAUAGUAACAUAAAGUAUUCUGCAGAAAUAUCUUGCUUUAUAAAAGACUUAGAUUGGCAGAAAGCAAAUACAAACAGUAACUCUAUACCUCAAUAGAGGUAUCCUAAUACUGGUGCAUAAGUUGGUAGAUUUACUGCUAGGCAGAUAAAAAGUACAUUCCAUACAGUCUUCAGAAUUUUUACAAGAAUAUACGAGUGAAUUGCGCAGACAAAAUAUUUAACUUUAUUCUUGGAGUUCGCAAAUUUCAUGAGUUAAAUAUACCUACAUAUAUCUUUAUAAGUCAUUUAUUAUCCGUGUCGUCUUGCUACAAAAAUAUAGCAAUAUUAAAGCAAUAAUUUAAUUUGUAACAUUUUUUCUUCCCAAUCGCAAAUAUGUAUAUCUACUUCAACACUAACAAAACUUAUAUACAAAUAUGUAAUAAAAACUUUAAAUAUAGCUUAAGACAUGCUCGCUUUAAACUAAGUUUUCAAGUUCUAAGUUUUUGACUGAACAAUAUUUUGACAUGUUGCGACGCUGUGCACUGCAAUGCUUAUGCUUAUGCAGACCUUGCACUUUGACCUUUGCCCACGUGAGCCAGUUUUACACAACGCGUUG
Zeugodacus cucurbitae (melon fly) is the source of this 1476-nucleotide long non-coding RNA. RefSeq lists it as uncharacterized. Lineage: Eukaryota; Metazoa; Arthropoda; Insecta; Diptera; Tephritidae. The transcript has 3 exons. The record is from RefSeq and is a predicted model, not a curated record.